GGCCUGGUGGCUCAGUGGUAAGAGCACCCGCCUCAUGAACAGGAGGUCGUGGGUUCGAUCCCCGGCCGAGUCA
RNAcentral lists this transfer RNA (73 nucleotides) under Strongylocentrotus purpuratus (purple sea urchin). It matches the Rfam family "tRNA". From Rfam's summary of the family: Transfer RNA (tRNA) molecules are approximately 80 nucleotides in length. Their secondary structure includes four short double-helical elements and three loops (D, anti-codon, and T loops). Further hydrogen bonds mediate the characteristic L-shaped molecular structure. tRNAs have two regions of fundamental functional importance: the anti-codon, which is responsible for specific mRNA codon recognition, and the 3' end, to which the tRNAs corresponding amino acid is attached (by aminoacyl-tRNA synthetases). tRNAs cope with the degeneracy of the genetic code in two manners: having more than one tRNA (with a specific anti-codon) for a particular amino acid; and 'wobble' base-pairing, i.e. permitting non-standard base-pairing at the 3rd anti-codon position. The record is from Rfam by way of RNAcentral. Lineage: Eukaryota; Metazoa; Echinodermata; Echinoidea; Camarodonta; Strongylocentrotidae.